AAGAGCAACCAGCAGAAUUAUUUCAAAUCCUAAGGAUAAGACAGAAGAUAUAAAGUCAUGCAGGUUUCGAAUGGCAUGAUGGAAACUGAAGCCACAUUGACCAGAUCUCCGGGAUUCAGUGUGUUUUAUCUGACGGUGACACUGUUAUCAGAGCUGCGAGUCAGAUCACGACACCACACAAACCUCGAGACCCAGAGGUCAAAGGUGCCGUCACCAAUCCACCAUUCAAACAUCAAUUCUGAGAAACAAAAUUAAGUUCCAGCCUACAUUUUUUCUCAGUAAGUAUCAUGUUUC
Rhinichthys klamathensis goyatoka is the source of this 294-nucleotide long non-coding RNA. RefSeq lists it as uncharacterized. The transcript is spliced from 3 exons. Lineage: Eukaryota; Metazoa; Chordata; Actinopteri; Cypriniformes; Leuciscidae. The record is from RefSeq and is a predicted model, not a curated record.